RNAcentral lists this ribosomal RNA (585 nucleotides) under Truncatella sp. C_1_BESC_294ab. Its description in RNAcentral is "eukaryotic LSU rRNA". It matches the Rfam family "Eukaryotic large subunit ribosomal RNA", at positions 1 to 596 of the family's 3401-position model. The record is from RNAcentral. Lineage: Eukaryota; Fungi; Ascomycota; Sordariomycetes; Amphisphaeriales; Sporocadaceae.
ACCUCGGAUCAGGUAGGAAUACCCGCUGAACUUAAGCAUAUCAAUAAGCGGAGGAAAAGAAACCAACAGGGAUUGCCUUAGUAACGGCGAGUGAAGCGGCAAUAGCUCAAAUUUGAAAUCUGGCGCUUGCGUCCGAGUUGUAAUUUGCAGAGGAUGAUUUUGGUUAGGUACCUUCCGAGUUCCUUGGAACAGGACGCCUUAGAGGGUGAGAGCCCCGUACGGUUGGAUGCCGAGCCUUUGUAAAUCUCCUUCGACGAGUCGAGUAGUUUGGGAAUGCUGCUCUAAAUGGGAGGUAAAUUUCUUCUAAAGCUAAAUACCGGCCAGAGACCGAUAGCGCACAAGUAGAGUGAUCGAAAGAUGAAAAGCACUUUGAAAAGAGGGUUAAAUAGCACGUGAAAUUGUUGAAAGGGAANGGAUUUAUGACCAGACUUUUUCUAGGAGGAUCAUNCCGGUGUUCUCACCGGUGCACUUCUUCUAGUCUAGGCCAGCAUCGACUUUCGGCGGUGGAUAAAAGCUUUGGGAAUGUGACUCCUUUCGGGGAGUGUUAUAGCCUAUUGUAUAAUACACUGCUGGGGGUCGAGGUAC